CAACCCACACCACAUUCACUGAAUUUUUAAAUAGGAUAUGGCAAAGAUGAAAAUCAAUGGCAGAAAAUGUAACAGCCACUUGUCAAUAUCUCAUGUCUAACAGAGUUGAUCAAAGUUCUCGUAAAGUGUACCAUUCUACAUUCCCCAAGACCCAAGCCUAAACUAUAUUUCAUUUCAUUUCAUCUUUUCUUGACUUUAAAUCCACAGAUUAGAAUUAGAUUUAACCUAUGAGAGGAUUAUAAAGUUUCAUAACAGCUACUAAAUCCUUCCUAUUUUCUUUCCAAUUAUGCAAAAAAUGGCUCACUUCAUUGUUAGCUAGUGAAAAGCUAAAAGUUCAAGCAUGAAUCACAGCUCAAUAAGCCAGCCACUGACCAUAGACCGGAUGUGCAAACUUUCUGAAAAGUUGGUGGCUGUGUGUGUGGAGUAUUUGAGUGACAUUACAUUUACACAUUCUCACCCUUGGGGGACCCUUUUGAAGGACAAAUAAAAGACUCACAUGCCUUGUUCCGGCCAAAGCAGACAAAAAAACCUCAGUGAUGUCUUAUCAUUCCGCAUGCCAAAAUUUCACCUGCAAAAAUGAGAGAAUUAGACUACCAGAGACAGGAAAAUUUGCAACAAGUGAUGAACAAAAUAUCUGCAAAUCCAUAUCAUGCAUCAAACUCUGCAUGCGCGUGAAACACAGCCAGUUUCAUAUCUGUGCAUGAUAACCUAAGUUACAUAAUUGCUAUACAUUGUGCCUUCAUGACAUCCUGUUUGGUAAAUACCAGGACCAUCAUGUUCAAAUUGAUUAUGAGAACUUCAAACUGCCCAGAUCAAGCCUUAAAGUUGCAUUAUUUAUUUAACCAUUACACGAGGCAAUAUUGCAGCAAUAAUCGAAGAUCUAAGUAACAUUGCGGAAAUUCUCCAAUUCUAGUUAUUUAUUUAACCAUUAAAUGAGACAACAUGAGAAACCAACUCAUUUGAGACCUUCACAAGUGUCCCAAUGAGGAAAGUAUCACUGCAUGAGAAAAUGUACACCACAUGCAAUGCAAGUAUUUUACCAGCAAUGCUCAAAGUUGCAUUAAGAAUGUAUCACAUGCAUCAAAAAUUCACCAGACCUUUCUAGCCAAAAAGCUGCCAACAUCCGGCACUGAUAUUAAUCAUCUCAAGUAACUUCACGAAUCUUUACGUUGGGGGAGACCAUGGCAUUUGCAGGUGUCUUUGACAAGUUACUCUUUGCAUUUCCAGCAGCUUGUCCAACAGAGCUUUUGGCAUUUGUCAUCUCAGUUGCCAAAAUCGACUUCUUUAUUGCUGCGAGACGUUCCUUGUGGAUAUCACUUGUAAGCGGUUUUCGAUAGGUUUUAAUCUCAUCACCACUAAAUCCUGGGAGGGUCAUAUUCCAAUUUCUUUCAAGAUGUAGAAGUAUGUCUUUUGCUUCCAAUGUAUCAGAUUUUCGAUGUUUGGCUAAGGAGCAGCCAAAUGUUGUGAUAGAAUCAACAAAUUCAUCAGCUAUAUCUGCAAGAAUGUCUUCAACUUCAGGAUCCAAUUUCUCAGAAGGGUCGAUCUGGCUAACUAGCUCAUUGAUACUUCUUUUGCUAAGAAUCCGGUUACCAGAUUCUUCACUUUCUGCAUUAGCUGUCCUAUUCUGGGUGCCUGGCUGUACAGUAUUAGGCUGUACCAUUGGCAAGGAAAGUGGCUUUGGGUUUGCUGAACCUUGAAGGCCAAGCUGUUGUGUUAUGGACCGUGGAACCCUUGACGGUGGAAAUUGUUGUCCAUAAUGAUCCGAUGGUUGAUGGGAUGGUAAAGGUUGCUGCGGUUGUGCAGAUGACAUGUGCUGUUGCUGUGAAGUAGUUGGCAGGGAAUGAUGUUGCUGAGGAAUAUGUGACCUUUGUUGCAAAGAUGGUGCGUUUAUCUGUGGUCUAUAUGAAGCGGAAGGCAAUGGAGGCUUGCCUUGAGAUCCAGAUGACAACCAUGGCUGACUAGGGGACUGCAUACUUUGCGAUGCACUUGGUGCUGGAGAACUAGGAGGACCUACAGAAGACGGUCUCAUAAAACCAUGCCCUUGGAAAUUUUGGGUGGCAGGAGACUGGUUAUUUGGGGAAGAAGAGGAAGGUCUAAUAGAUGAUUGAACAGGUCUCUGUUGAUGAUGUCCAGAAAUCCCACCUGACCGAAUUUGAGAACCCGAACUCACUGAUCCCACCAUUCCCAUUCCCUGCACUCCCUGCAUCCCCUGCCUAGCCUGUGAAUUGCUAGUAUUAGCUACAGAUUCAGGCACAUUGACUGUUCCGCGACUCAAUCCCCCAUACUGCUGCCCAAAAGAAGAUGAAAAAGGCGCCGGAGAAGGGCUAGCGUGAGGGGCAGGAACACCAAUAGCAACACCACCCCUUUGUUGCGAUGCAGAAAUGGAAGGCGAAGCAGACGAUGACAAGGAAAGGGCAGAGGAAGCUGGAAGAGAAGAAGACGGCGAAGUGAUUGAGGAGAAGUGCGGGAAGUGGGAAUGUGGAUGAGGAUGCUGCCAUGGUCUAUGCAAUGUCUGGGGCCUAGAGGCAGAAGAGUGAGGUUGAGAUUGGGAUGGGGUAGAGGUUGAGGGUCUAGGGUUAGGGCUAGGGCUAGGGCUAGGGUUAGGGUUUGGAGUGGUUGGGGCUGGGGAUGGGGCUGAAUGAGUAGUGGAGGAAGGUAGUUGUAAUGGAGGCGGCUGUUGCUGUUGUUGCUGUGGUGGUCGAGGUGCCGGUGGUGACGGCUGUGAUGGCGAUGUUUCAGUAGGUUGAGAACCGGCCGUUCCUGUGGUGGGAGGAGUAGGGAUGGAGGAGGUGGGGAUUGGUUGGUCCAUCGAGAGAGC
RNAcentral lists this unclassified non-coding RNA (2818 nucleotides) under Hevea brasiliensis (rubber tree). The record is from RNAcentral. Lineage: Eukaryota; Viridiplantae; Streptophyta; Magnoliopsida; Malpighiales; Euphorbiaceae.